This 470-nucleotide ribosomal RNA is filed under the name uncultured bacterium. Its description in RNAcentral is "partial 16S ribosomal RNA". It matches the Rfam family "Bacterial small subunit ribosomal RNA", at positions 28 to 507 of the family's 1533-position model. The record is from RNAcentral.
GACGAACGUUGGCGGCGUGCUUAACACAUGCAAGUCGAACGGUGAACGAGGGAGCUUGCUCCCUCCGGAUCAGUGGCGAACGGGUGAGUAACACGUGAGCAAUCUGCCCCGAACUCUGGGAUAAGCGUUGGAAACGACGUCUAAUACCGGAUACGACGCGGGAGGGCAUCCUCUCCGCGUGGAAAGAACUUCGGUUCGGGAUGAGCUCGCGGCCUAUCAGCUUGUUGGUGAGGUAACGGCUCACCAAGGCGACGACGGGUAGCCGGCCUGAGAGGGUGACCGGCCACACUGGGACUGAGACACGGCCCAGACUCCUACGGGAGGCAGCAGUGGGGAAUAUUGCACAAUGGGCGCAAGCCUGAUGCAGCAACGCCGCGUGAGGGACGACGGCCUUCGGGUUGUAAACCUCUUUUAGCAGGGAAGAAGCGAAAGUGACGGUACCUGCAGAAAAAGCACCGGCUAACUACGUG